AGAGUUUGAUCCUGGCUCAGACGAAGCUGGCGGCGUGCCUAACACAUGCAAGUCGAAUGGGGAUUUUGUUUCGGCAGAAUCCUAGUGGCGAACGGGUGAGUAACGCGUAGGCACCUGCCCUCCGGCCGGGGACAACAUUCCGAAAGGGGUGCUAAUACCGGAUACGAAGUCUGUGCCGCAUGGUACGGAUUUGAAAGAUGGCCUCUAUUUAUAAGUUAUCGCCGGGGGAUGGGCCUGCGUCCGAUUAGCUGGUUGGUGGGGUAACCGCCCACCAAGGCUUCGAUCAGUAGCCGGACUGAGAGGUUGAUCGGCCACAGUGGGACUGAGAUACGGCCUAGACUCGUACGGGAGGCAGCAGUGGGGAAUAUGGGGCAAUGGGGGAAACGCUGACCCAGCAACGCCGCGUGAGGGAAGAAGGUCGUCGGAUUGUAAACCUCUGUUACCAGGGAAGAAGAAAGUGACCGGUACCUGGAGAAAAAGCCGCGGCUAACUACGUGCCAGCAGCCGCGGUAAUACGUAGGUGGCAAGCGUUGUCCGGAUGUACUGGGUGUAAAGGGCGUGUACGCCGGAAGACAGGUCAGAUGUGAAAUGUCGGGGCUCAACGCGCGAACUGCAUGUUGAAACCGGUGUUCUUGAGUAUCGGAGAGGCAGGCCGAAUGCUGAGUGUAGCCGUGAAAUGCGUAGAUAUUAGGAGGAACACYAGUGGCGARRGCGGCCUGCUGGACGACAACUGACGCUGASAGCGCGAARGCGUGRGRAGCMAACAGGAUUAGAUACSCUGRUAGUCYACGCCGUAAACGAUGAAUACUAGGUGUGRGGRGGUCUGACYCSCUSCGUGCCGGAGUUAACACAAUAAGCAUUCCGCCUAGAGAGUACGGCCGCAAGGUUGAAACUCAAAGGAAUUGACGAGAGCCCGCACAAGCAGCGGAGCAUGUGGUUUAAUUCGACGCAACGCGAAGAACCUUACCAGGUCUUGACAUCCAGUUAAAGCCAUAGAGAUAUGGUGUGUGCUUGCACAAACUGAGACAGGUGGUGCAUGGUUGUCGUCAGCUCGUGUCGUGAGAUGUUGGGUUAAGUCCCGCAACGAGCGCAACCCUUAUUUUCAGUUACUAACGCGUAGAGGCGAGGACUCUGAAGAGACUGCCGGGGACAACUCGGAGGAAGGUGGGGACGACGUCAAAUCAUCAUGCCCCUUAUGACCUGGGCUACACACGUGCUACAAUGGCCACCACAGAGAGGGGCGAACCCGCAAGGGGGAGCGGAUCUCAAAAAAGUGGUCCCAGUUCGGAUUGUGGGCUGCAACCCGCCCACAUGAAGUCGGAGUUGCUAGUAAUCGCGGAUCAGCAUGCCGCGGUGAAUACGUUCCCGGGCCUUGUACACACCGCCCGUCACACCAUGGGAGUUGGGAGUGCCCAAAGUCGGUGAGGUAACCGCAAGGAGCCAGCCGCCUAAGGCAAGACCAAUGACUGGGGUGAAGUCGUAACAAGGUAACCGUA
RNAcentral lists this ribosomal RNA (1496 nucleotides) under uncultured rumen bacterium. RNAcentral's name for it is "partial 16S ribosomal RNA". It matches the Rfam family "Bacterial small subunit ribosomal RNA". The record is from RNAcentral.